UGAAUACGAGACGCUAAGGCGUCGAAGUAGUGUAUGUCAUACUUCCAAGAAAAGCUUGCACUGUCAUAGAUAAAAAACGCCUGUACCAUAACCGACACAGGUGGGUAGGUAGAGUAUACUAAGGGGCGCGAGAUAACUCUCUCUAAGGAACUCGGCAAAAUAACUCCGUAACUUCGGGAGAAGGAGUGCCUUAUUAUUAAGGCUGCAAUAACAAGAUCCAAGCAACUGUUUAUCAAAAACACAGGUCUCCGCUAAGUCGUAAGACGAUGUAUGGGGGCUGACGCCUGCCCAGUGCCAGAAGGUUAAAGAAGUUGGUUAGCAUUUGCGAAGCUGAUAACUGAAGCCCUGGUGAACGGCGGCCGUAACUAUAACGGUCCUAAGGUAGCGAAAUUCCUUGUCGGGUAAGUUCCGACCCGCACGAAAGGCGUAAUGAUUUGGAUACUGUCUCGGAGAGGGGCUCGGUGAAAUAGACUUGUCUGUGAAGAUGCGGACUACCUGCACCAGGACAGAAAGACCCUAUGAAGCUUUACUGUAACUUGAAAUUGAAAUUGGACUUUAUUCGCGCAGCAUAGGUGGGAGGCGUUGAUUAUAAUCUUGUGGGAUUAUUGGAGCCAUCAGUGAGAUACCACUCUUGUAAUGUUAGAUUUCUAACUUUGAAUCAUUAUCUGGUCAAAGAACAGUUUCAGGCGGGCAGUUUGACUGGGGCGUCGCCUCCUAAACGGUAACGGAGGCGUACAAAGGUUUCCUCUGAACGGUUAGAAAUCGUAUCUAGAGUGUAAAGGCAUAAGGAAGCUUGACUGUGAGACCUACAAGUCGAGCAGGGACGAAAGUCGGUCUUAGUGAUCUGACGGUACUGAGUGGAAAGGCCGUCACUCAACGGAUAAAAGUUACUCUAAGGAUAACAGGCUGAUCUCCCCCAAGAGUUCACAUCGACGGGGAGGUUUGGCACCUCGAUGUCGGCUCAUCGCAUCCUGGGGCGGUAGUACGUCCCAAGGGUUGGGCUGUUCGCCCAUGAAAGCGGUACGCGAGCUGGGUUCAGAACGUCGUGAGACAGUUCGGUCCAUAUCCGGUGUAGGCGUUAGAAUAUUGAGAGGAGCCUUCUUUAGUACGAGAGGACCGAGAAGGACAUACCUCUGGUGUACCAGUUAUCGUGCCAACGGUAAACGCUGGGUAGCUAUGUAUGGAGUGGAUAACCGCUGAAAGCAUCUAAGUGGGAAGCCCACCUCAAGAUAAGUAUUCUCAC
RNAcentral lists this ribosomal RNA (1243 nucleotides) under metagenome. RNAcentral describes it as "bacterial LSU rRNA". It matches the Rfam family "Bacterial large subunit ribosomal RNA", at positions 1564 to 2817 of the family's 2925-position model. The record is from RNAcentral.